CCUACGGGCGGCAGCAGUGGGGAAUAUUGGACAAUGGGCGCAAGCCUGAUCCAGCCAUGCCGCGUGAGUGAUGAAGGCCUUAGGGUUGUAAAGCUCUUUUGUCUGGGACGAUAAUGACGGUACCGGAAGAAUAAGCCCCGGCUAACUUCGUGCCAGCAGCCGCGGUAAUACGAAGGGGGCUAGCGUUGCUCGGAAUCACUGGGCGUAAAGGGCGCGUAGGCGGCCUUGUAAGUUGGGGGUGAAAGCCCGUGGCUCAACCACGGAAUUGCCUUCGAUACUGCUUGGCUUGAGUGUGGUAGAGGUGGGUGGAACUGCGAGUGUAGAGGUGAAAUUCGUAGAUAUUCGCAAGAACACCGGUGGCGAAGGCGGCCAACUGGACCAUCACUGACGCUGAGGCGCGAAAGCGUGGGGAGCAAACAGGAUUAGAUACCCUUGUAGUC
RNAcentral lists this ribosomal RNA (440 nucleotides) under uncultured Methylobacterium sp. RNAcentral describes it as "bacterial SSU rRNA". It matches the Rfam family "Bacterial small subunit ribosomal RNA", at positions 338 to 795 of the family's 1533-position model. The record is from RNAcentral. Lineage: Bacteria; Pseudomonadati; Pseudomonadota; Alphaproteobacteria; Hyphomicrobiales; Methylobacteriaceae.